Molecule: long non-coding RNA, 1193 nt
Organism: Raphanus sativus (radish)
Lineage: Eukaryota; Viridiplantae; Streptophyta; Magnoliopsida; Brassicales; Brassicaceae
Exons: 2
Source: RefSeq, a predicted model, not a curated record
UCUUGGAAUGAAUGAUGAUACGAGAUGCGUAAGUCAUAGCCGAUCGGAACUGUUUAGGGUUUUCAGAAAAAAAAAAAUCGAGAUUUGAGUUUCCAAUUCCAAUUUCGACUUCUUCUUCUGCGCUGUUGUUGUUAUGGAUUCUCUUCGGGGAGCUUUUGCGUCUUGCCAAAAGACAGCGAUCAUCAGGUGCGUUAGAGCAUGUUUAUCGCCGUAGCUUAAUGACGUUGCUUAAUAUAAUUACAACUAAAAGAAAAUAAAAAAUAGAAGAAAGCAGAAGCGACGGCCCCUAAUUAAGCACGAGAAGCAACGUUGCUUCUUGGACAUGUGUCGUGACUCUUUCUCUCUCUCUCGUUUAUUCGCGAAGAAGGAAGAAGGAAGAAGAAGCCAUGGCAGGAGUAUGACCGAUGACUCAGGAUUGGAGCCUGUGGUGACUCGGACUUUCAGCCUCGCCUCUUUCUGCCUCGACGGGUCCAAACUCACCGAGAAUCCCGACGGUGGUGAUCCCGCCCGUUUCGUCCUCAGAAACCUUCGAAUCCGUUUCCGGCACUACCGCAAAGCAUAGCAAUGAUUGGUUCUCUGUCUCUCUCUCUCUGCCGAUUACGAAAAUCGUAUGCAUCUGUGUCGAAUCAAGCAUCUGUUUUGAGAAUUGAUAGAUAAAAGCUUUGUUGUUUUGUGAUUGUAUUUGGAUUUUUAGAAGGAAAAAAAAACGCUGACUUUGUUUCUUUUCGUUCUCUAUCUCUCUCUCUGUUGAUCACGAAAACCGUAUCCAUCUGAGUCGAAUCGAAAGGUAAAAUCCUUGUUGUUUUGUGAUUGUGUUGGGAUUAUGAUUUGGUUGAAAAAAAGUGGCUGACUUUAUUUAUUUCUGUUCUCUAUCGAUCUCUCUCUGUUGCUCCCGAAAACAGGAUGCAUCUAAGUCGAAUUGAAACAGCUGAGUCAGAUCGUAAGGUAAAUAAUUAGUGAAAGAGUGGAGCUCUCAGGUGGUGAUCACUAGCAUUACUAUAGGAGGCCUUCUAUUGCUUAUUGGAAGCCAUCAGAAAGAAAAGGUACGUUAUUGGAACAACAUCAAGAAUGGCUUUUCUAGUGAACUGAUCUUAGUGAUGGUCGGUUGUGGCUUUAAGCUUCUUGUUCUGUUUUAUGUAGUUUUUGUUAUGAAAAAACGUAUCACGGUUUUAAUGUAGUUUAAAUGUUCUUGG